GACGAACGCUGGCGGCGUGCUUAACACAUGCAAGUCGUACGGUAAGGCCCUUUCGGGGGUACACGAGUGGCGAACGGGUGAGUAACACGUGAGUAACCUGCCCACAACUUUGGGAUAACGCUAGGAAACUGGUGCUAAUACUGGAUAUGUGCUCCUGCUGCAUGGUGGGGGUUGGAAAGCUCCGGCGGUUGUGGAUGGACUCGCGGCCUAUCAGCUUGUUGGUGGGGUAGUGGCCUACCAAGGCGGCGACGGGUAGCCGGCCUGAGAGGGUGACCGGCCACAUUGGGUCUGGGAUACGGCCCAGGCUCCUACUGGAGGCAGCAGUGGGGAUUGUUGCACCAUGGGCGCCAGCCUGAUGCAGCAGCGCCGCGUGCGGGAUGACGGCCUUCGGGUUGUAAUCCGCUUUCAGCAGGGGCGAAGCUUUUUGUGACGGUACCUGCAGUAGAAGCACCGGCUAACUACGUG
This 465-nucleotide ribosomal RNA is filed under the name uncultured bacterium. RNAcentral's name for it is "partial 16S ribosomal RNA". It matches the Rfam family "Bacterial small subunit ribosomal RNA", at positions 28 to 507 of the family's 1533-position model. The record is from RNAcentral.